Long non-coding RNA from Neofelis nebulosa (Clouded leopard), 4571 nucleotides. RefSeq lists it as uncharacterized. Lineage: Eukaryota; Metazoa; Chordata; Mammalia; Carnivora; Felidae. The record is from RefSeq and is a predicted model, not a curated record. The transcript is spliced from 3 exons.
GAGCGUGAGCACCCAGCGGGCUGGAAGUAACGCCUGUUGUAGAGGCGAGGGACAGGUCAUUGCUACUGUUAGUCUGCACCUCCACCGAGCUCUGACCUGGCCUGUGGGCAGGACAGGGACCAGGGCUUCUCAGGUCUACUUCUGUCGGCUGUGCGAGCUCAGACGGUGUUUGCAAGGAAGAAGGGACCGUGGCCUUGGACGGGUUGAUGGAACCACAGUCAUCACCCUGAGCUCUACUUGGAAGCUAACGUGAGCACUGAUACUUCGCUUUGAAAAUUUCACGCUUCGAUCGGCGCUUUGAAAAAAAUCAGCUUUCGUUUUUUCUCAAUCCAGUGGCAAAGGUGGUGUAGGAUAAUAUCUUACCUUAAUGGUCUCUCCUGUAUCUGCUCCAUCCCUCCCUCUGCUUCUUUCUGCUUUCCCUCUCAUCAUCUAAUUUCCCUCCUUCUCCAUUUUCUUUUCCUUCCUAAAGGAAAAAUUGUCCUUGGCGGUUUGUCAUUGGGCUUGCCUAGUUGCUGCCCUCUACUGUCCCCUGCUGGAGACGAAGGGGAAGCGCGAGCCUCCCUCUGAGACUGCGGAAGCUGUGAGUUGGUGGUACCGUCUAGAAGGAAUAGCAAGGAAGGCAGAUAGGGGAGCCCUGAAACUCCUUGUGGUUAUUCUUGCCAGUUCAUCUGUUUCUGUAUCCUUUCUGCAAAGGCUGGAAAAUCCAGAAUAUACAAGUAUGUUUUUUUUUUUUCUUUUAGCCCAGCUCUGAUUGCCUCUCAUUUAGUUCUGCCUGACUCGCUACUACCUGAAACCUAGGGAUCUCUUUGCCAAGGAGAAGCUGUGUUUUAUGAUGUGCAGAUGUGCCCAAAUUAAACGUCCUGAAGACACUCGCAGCUGCAGGAAUAGAAGCAGGUGCCUGGAUGUAGAGUGAUGAGAAGACACCAUCUGCCGUAAAGGAGCUCACCUUGACUCACGUGGCCCAGCAACGUCUCAUCAGCUAAGAACUCUAGAUUAUUAUACAAAAUCAUCAUAAUGUUUGUCUUGUGAUGACAGAUUGGAAUUUAUUUCUCUAAUCCAAAACAUCGGUCAAUGGAAUACAAACUACCCUUGUCCAAGGACCAAUCGGGUUUUCUGUGAAGGCUCAGAGAGGUUCUGCAACUUGACCACAUCACACAGCGAUGGAGCCUAGAUUUAGCCCAAUCAUUUUUUUCUCUAUUAACCCCAAACCAAAAGACCAGAGGGCCCAAAGAAAGCUGAGAAGGUUGACUGCUGUGCAUUGCCUUUAAGUGAGCAAAUCAUUAUUCUUAAUAAUAGAAAACAUGGCUGUGUGCUAUAGUUGAAGAAAGGUGAAAAAAUAGAAAAAUGUAUUGAGCUUGGUUAACAAUUAAAAGAAUAAAUAAAUUAAUUUAUUCACAUAAUUUCAGUCAGUGGAAAAUACCUGGAAAUCAAUUUUGCAGAGGAGACUUUGACCUAUUGACUUUAGCGAUGACUCAGUGGGUGUUGAAAUUAUCUUGACUUCAGGUUUAGAAGGUAAAUAAAAGGUAAGUCAUUACAUUAUUUCUGGUUAAAUGUUUUCCAGGAGCAUGAGAGUCAAUGUAGAAAAUCACAUCCAUCUGUCCUGCUGGUCUCUGUAAUCAACUUUUGAUGUCUUCAAAACAAGGUGAGUGGCACUUUCAGACAAGAAGGAAGAUUGUCCUCAGAUGGUCACAUUGGGUCUGGCUGUACAGCACUAUGUUGGUUAUUAUAAACACACAAGAAAAGUGUAAGCUGUGGUUCCUGCCCUCAGCUGACGUUAAAUCCACAGGAACACAAUGCCCCGAAUUGGAAAGGGUCUCAUGGGACAACAGUGUCUAUGUUAUUUUUAAUCUUGUGUCCCUAGGACCUGCCUCCUGCCCAGCGCAGAUUGGGCCCCUAUGCACAAUUGCUGUCCGAGAGGCAUUAGGGCAACUUCCCACUCAGCUCAGAGGCCCCCCUCCAGUGUGUGUGGUGUUUACUUGAAGACAUUUACAUACAGGAAUCUCUCCACCAUGCUGGCAGUCCAUUCUAUUGCUAAAUCACUCUUUCCUUCACAUCAAGUCAAGACCUGCCUACCUUGUAACCUCACAAAUGGGCCCAGAUUCUCCCCCUCAAGAUCUACAUAGCCUAAGUCAAUUCUCUGGUCUAUAUGUUGGCCUGUAGGUAUUUAGGGAUAUCCAUGUUGUAUCAUGCUACCCUUCUCUGACCUCUGUUAUCUCUUUCUUCAGGUACUUCUCAGGUGUCUUAGUUUUGAGACCACCUCAUCAUCUUAUUGAAUAGGCAAGUCUAGCACCGGUGGUUAGAAAUAGGAUGAAUCAUCUUGUCACUGGGGGUCACAGGGAUCUGAGUGGAGGCAAACUUGUACAUGCACAGGUGAAGGGCAAUUCAGGAAUUAGUUGAUAGUGACAUAGGCCACUUGCCACUCAUAGGACAGGAGGAUUUCUACUGGUUUCCAAAGACUUACCUGGACUCUCAAAAGGAGUUACAAUGAGACUAAAAAACAGAGAGAACAUUCUUCUCCAUAGAUUAGACUUCUUAAAAGUGGAGAGGGAACAUGUAUGAGGCUAGUUAGUGGAAGACCAGUAAGAGGGGACCAAGUCUCCAUUCGUCUUGAAUCUAACAAGGCUCUCAGCUGGUAGCAUGUCUUCACUACUUGUUACGUGAUCUCUAGAAAACAUGUAGGGAUGUGGAACGUCAUUGCUUCUGGCGUUCUUGUUAGAACAUUAGAAGGCGACAGCUUGAAAUAGAGAGGGUGCCAAUCACAGGGCCAGGGCAGGUAAUGUGGGCAAUUUUCUCUUUCCAUGCUGGGAUUGUGCAACAGGCAGCCACAUCAUUCAGCACAUUAAGCAACAAUUGAGCCUCCAGGACUCAGAUUCUAAUGGAGACUGAGGCAGCGUGAGGAUGCAUAUUAGCAGGAAGGUAAGGGUAAGUAAGAUGGAGAGGGACGGGAUGGGUAGGGAGGAAGGAAUGGGAGCAGCUUAGCAUGAGUAGGAGCCCCACACUCGGAGUCGGAACUGACCCCUGGUGCCACUAUUUAUUAGCUAUGUGACCUAACUAGAGAUUUCAUCUUGCUAUGCCUUAGUUUCUUCAUCUGUGAAAUAUGGGCAAUAAAACCUGGCUAGUAGAUAUGUGCUAAGGAUUUAGUGAGAACAUUUGCAAAUUCUCCACCUCGGGUGGUACACGGUGAACUAUCAAUAAAUGGGGGCUCUUUUUAAAAUUUAAAAAAAAUUGUAUAAUUUUUUUGUUUUGGAGAGAGGGAGAGUGCACUUGAGCAGGGGAGAGAGGCAGAGAGAGAGAGAGAGAGAGAGAGAGAGAGAAUCUUAAGCAGGCUCCACGCUCAGCACAGAGCCAGAUGCAGGGCUUGAUCCCACGACCCUGGGAUCAUAAACUGAGCUGAAAUCAAGAGUCAGACCUCAACUGACUAAGCUGCCCAGGUGCCCCAUCAUAUAGAAAUUCUUAAUUAAGAAGUAUGGCUAUUGAAAUAAAAAUAAAAAUACUUAAAUAAGGGGCGUCUGGGUGGUUCAAUUGGUUGAGCAUCCAACUCUUGAUUUCAGCUCAGGUUAUGAUCCUACGGUUUGUGGGUUCAAGCCCUGCAUCAGGCUCUGCACUGUCAGUGCUUGGGAUUCUUUCUCUCCCUCUCUUUCUGCUCUCCCCACCCCCGCUCACACUCUCUUUCUCUCAAAAUAAAGAAACAUUAAAAAAAAUACUUAAGUAAGUAAAAUAAUAGAUCAAAUAUAGACCAGGAAAAAAUUCAAUCUGGAAUCCCCUUAAGUGCCUCCUCUCUGUCUUUUAAAUGCAAAUUUUGUGUAGGGAUUUGCAUAGCAGGCAGAUGUUGGAAGCUGAAUUCUCACCAGGGUCCACAUCUUGUCCUCUGCCCACUACCCCACGUGGCCAUGGGCCCCCCAUUUCAUUCCAUAGUGGUGGGUUGCCCCACCCAGAAGCCUAGAGUGGUCCAGCAGGUGUUGGCACUUAGAAAAUUACCUAUAGUCAUACCCUGGCGACACAGAUGAAGGACAACAUGCAAGGAAAAAUGUAAUUUUCUUUUGAACAUCUCACAGUCUCUUCCUCGAGCUUACUGUCCUAAAAUUUGCAUUUGAAACUUUAUUUCUGUUGACACAUGGAUCAUGAAUGACAAUGCCAAUAUACAUUCUGUUGUAUUGCAACUUGAUUUGCAUAAGUACUAAAGUUCGCUGCUUGGUCAACAUGCUUUAAUUUUUCAUAUGUGUAUGUAUGUAUGAUUGUGAUUUUUCUUUUCCAAAACAAAUGUCGCGUGGUUUCUAAAAGUUGGGAAAAAAAUAAAAGUUGGAUCUUCCCCUCUUAAGUUAAAUGGGACAGAGCUACAUAGCUGGCUAGGAGGUUUUGUGUGGUCCCAGAGCCUCGACCUCCUCCUAGGCUGUGUUGCUGUGUGUCUGAAGACUGCUGGACAGACACCAAGACACCAUCUGCAAGAGGGGGUGGGGGGCCUUCGGGGGCAGAACCCACCUCCCUGGAAUAGAGCCAGGCCUGGAAGGCCUGCCUGGUACUAAAGCCUCCCCCGUGGUCAAAGGGAACAAUAAAAUAUUGUCUGUUACUUA